CCUACGGGGUGCAGCAGUGGGGAAUAUUGCACAAUGGGCGCAAGCCUGAUGCAGCCAUGCCGCGUGUGUGAAGAAGGCCUUCGGGUUGUAAAGCACUUUCAGCGGGGAGGAAGGCGUUAAGGUUAAUAACCUUGGCGAUUGACGUUACCCGCAGAAGAAGCACCGGCUAACUCCGUGCCAGCAGCCGCGGUAAUACGGAGGGUGCAAGCGUUAAUCGGAAUUACUGGGCGUAAAGCGCACGCAGGCGGUCUGUCAAGUCGGAUGUGAAAUCCCCGGGCUCAACCUGGGAACUGCAUUCGAAACUGGCAGGCUAGAGUCUUGUAGAGGGUGGUAGAAUUCCAGGUGUAGCGGUGAAAUGCGUAGAGAUCUGGAGGAAUACCGGUGGCGAAGGCGGCCCCCUGGACAAAGACUGACGCUCAGGUGCGAAAGCGUGGGGAGCAAACAGGAUUAGAUACCCGAGUAGUC
RNAcentral lists this ribosomal RNA (465 nucleotides) under uncultured Klebsiella sp. Its description in RNAcentral is "bacterial SSU rRNA". It matches the Rfam family "Bacterial small subunit ribosomal RNA", at positions 338 to 795 of the family's 1533-position model. The record is from RNAcentral. Lineage: Bacteria; Pseudomonadati; Pseudomonadota; Gammaproteobacteria; Enterobacterales; Enterobacteriaceae.